AGGUAAUAGUUCUUCAUUGCUCUGUGUUUCUUGUGUAAAUAUUAUUUCUAAAUUUUCAUAACACUUUAAAAGUUAAAACAUUAAUGUUGUAUGCAUAAGUGAUAUGUUGUUUUAAGUAUUUUUUUAUGCAUAAUUUUGUUAAGUAAGGAUUAGAGCGUCGAAUGUUUGAAAUGUUUGGUCAUAAUUACACAUGGUAUUUACGCAGGUAUCACUCCGCCAGAAAAGUAGAGACCUGUGUAUGUGUUUCAUGUUUCCAACAAAGACUUUUGCUGAUGAGGUAUCACUCCGCCAGAAAAGUAGAGACCUGUGCAUGUGUUUCAUGUUUCCAACAAAGGUUCCAGAAGAUGGGGCGUGAAGAGGAUAUCAGAUAACGAGGCGCAAACCAACGGGAACGAAGUGACGGGCGUCGGCGGAGCGCGAGGCUGCGGAAUCAAGAGUUCAAGAAAGACCACUACAAAUGAGCAAUAUUGUGACGGCCGGAUCUCAUCAUGAUGCAGGGUUUGCAGAUCGGGCUUCGGACACAGCGUGCAGUACCUUGGAGACAUCAUGCCUCGUCGGUGUGUUGUCGGAGGUUGUAACAACACCAACAGAGACGGAUUCAAGUUGCACCACUGGUCAAAAGAUACGAAAGUCCCUUGUUUGUUCUGCACACUGUACCGACGACAGCUAUGCUACGACAGAGAUGGCAAGAAUGUGUGGAUAUCCUGCGACACUCAAAGAAGACACAUUUCCAUCGAUAAAGUCAACAAAAUCACAAAGGUGAGUUUUGUUGAUGUUAUUGACUUAUGUGGAGUGUGCUAAUCGGACAUAUUUGGUCACGGCAUGACUGCAAGCUAAUCGAUGCUAACAUGCUAUUUAGGCUAGCUGCAUGUACAUAUGUAACCUGUGGUCUUUUCCUCUGCGUUGUGUGUUUUGUUUAUGGAAGACGACCGACACCAUGGGUUUCUCCACUGCACUUUACUGAUAACACAGAAUACAAUUGUCUUUAAAAACUUUGUGCCAUCGUCGAGCCCCUCUCCCGUUAUCGUAGACAA
This is a long non-coding RNA of Nerophis ophidion (straightnose pipefish), 1034 nucleotides long. RefSeq lists it as uncharacterized. NCBI's taxonomy places the organism in Eukaryota, Metazoa, Chordata, Actinopteri, Syngnathiformes, Syngnathidae. The record is from RefSeq and is a predicted model, not a curated record. The transcript is spliced from 5 exons.